This 75-nucleotide transfer RNA is filed under the name archaeon. RNAcentral's name for it is "tRNA-Arg". It matches the Rfam family "tRNA". From Rfam's summary of the family: Transfer RNA (tRNA) molecules are approximately 80 nucleotides in length. Their secondary structure includes four short double-helical elements and three loops (D, anti-codon, and T loops). Further hydrogen bonds mediate the characteristic L-shaped molecular structure. tRNAs have two regions of fundamental functional importance: the anti-codon, which is responsible for specific mRNA codon recognition, and the 3' end, to which the tRNAs corresponding amino acid is attached (by aminoacyl-tRNA synthetases). tRNAs cope with the degeneracy of the genetic code in two manners: having more than one tRNA (with a specific anti-codon) for a particular amino acid; and 'wobble' base-pairing, i.e. permitting non-standard base-pairing at the 3rd anti-codon position. The record is from RNAcentral.
GGGUCCGUAGCCUAGCCUGGACAGGGCGACAGCCUUCUAAGCUGUAGACCGUGGGUUCAAAUCCCAUCGGACCCA